Molecule: non-coding RNA, 1590 nt
Organism: Equus caballus (horse)
Lineage: Eukaryota; Metazoa; Chordata; Mammalia; Perissodactyla; Equidae
Source: RefSeq, a predicted model, not a curated record
UACCUCUACCUGGGCUCCGGGAGGUCUCCUGGGAGGAGGACUUCUGUUCUGGGGCUCAGAAAGGGCAUAGAGAGUUUCAGACCGAGACCAGGCUCUGAGAACAACAGAGCACAGGACAAGGGGGGAUGCUGGGAAAUGGCAGCUGGUCCAGAGGGACCUCAGGGAGGGGAUCAGGAAGGGGGUGACUAGACAAAGACGAGACUUUUGGUGGCAGGGGGAUGAUGGACGGGGCCUGUACGGCAUGCCCCGUGGGACCUUUACUCUGAUGUAGUGAAUUCUGAUUGGGACCCAAUAUUGUUGGGGCCGUGGAUUACUGGUCUACUGCUGCCUAACAAAUUUCCCCAAAACCCAGCAGGUUGGAACAGCGAAUAUUUAUUAUCUCACAUAGUUUUUGAGGGUCAGGAAUCUGGGACCGGCUAAGCUGGGUGGCUCUGACUCAGGUACUCUCAUGAGGUGUCAAUCAAGCUGGCGGCUGGGGCUGGAGUGUCCUCUGAAGGCUCGGCUGGAUCUGAAGGUCCUACUUCCGAGCUCACACACACGGUUGUGGGCAAGAGGCCUCCGUGACUGGGCCUGUGGGCCUCUCGUCAGCAGCCGGCCUCCCCCAGAGCAAGGGAUCCAAGAAGGUGAGAGAGAGUGGCUAAGAUGGAAGCCACUACAUCCUUGACAAUCCAGUCUCAGAAGUGACAUCCCUUCACUCUCGGUGUGUGACUCUGGUACAGUGUGGGAGGGGACUGCACAGGGCUGGGGGUUACGAGGGGUCCCACUGGAGGCUGACAGACACAGGCCACCUCCUGCUGAAUCUGAAAAGGGCAGGCAGCUCAGAAUUCAAAGUAUAGCUAAAAAUACUAACAUGUGUCCCUCACAUCCCUUCACACGUGGCAUGAGUGUGGUUCUCGCUGCCUCACUCAUCCUUCCAGCAGUCUGAGAGGUGGGCAUUGUCAUCACAUCCUUUAGACAGGCCCAGGGUGGUCCAGCGACUCUCCUAUUGGGGCAGCCCCAACCCUGCAUUGUUCUGGAUUCUCCACGGUAGCAGUGGAAUCCUUGGAGAUCCACACUCACCCCACUGGUGGGCAGGCUGUAAACCAGAAAGAUGGGUGUCCCGACUCUGUGUCUAUCCCAUCUUGGCAGUCGGGUCCCAGGAAGCGAUGACCUGCUGGAAGGUGGGAUGUGACACGCACUGAAGAUGUGAGCUUUGAGCUGAGAACCUCCCCGUGCAGCCCCGCAGCAGGCCCAUGUGCCACCAAAGUCGCCACUCAGGUGGGGUGGUAAAUCAUCGAAACUUUAAUGAAGAACCUUCUGAGGUGAAGGGUUCUUCUCCAGGGGUCAUGCAAAGAACACCGAGAGGAAACAGCAUGGAGAAAUAAGGAGAAAUGAGGACUGGAUCCCCUGCUGUGUCAAGAGCAUCUUUUGCAACUUGAUAUAUGCUAAACUUUGCAAUAUGGAUCAUUGUUGAGUUAAUGGGAGAAUUACAAUUCUCUAACUCUCCAUAACAGGUCUCAUUAAAUCUAAGCAGCAUUUGGUUCUUAGGAGCUCAGCAUUACAAAUCUAAUUAAGACUCCAUAAAAUAAAAUAAUUCAAGUCUGCAUUCAA